GGACUCUGCAAGGGGCCAACGUGCUCCAUCACAGGCCAACCAAACAGGUUCGGAUCAGUACAUGCCUUAACAGCUAAUGAAUCGAUGCACCUUUUUGUAAUUCUGAGUUCUUCAGCAUAUGGAAGAACAUCAUCACAGGUUUGGAGUGCCUUUAAAGAGUCUUUCCAGCUACGGAGAACUACCUGAUUCAGAAAAAUCUCAGUCUGUGAUAUCAGAUUCCCCUCCCCAUAUUCUUCAGUCAUAUCAAGAUGCUCUGCGGCACAGCGAAGGUAUACAGCAUUACCUGCUGUAAGCUCUAGUUUAACCCCAUAACAAAAUUUUGCUACUAGUUCAAAUGUUUUAGCACCACCAGGGAUGUCAUUGAGUUCAAUAACACAGCCAUCUUCUCCUUCAGAUGCUUCUGCAAUCCG
This 410-nucleotide unclassified non-coding RNA is filed under the name Hevea brasiliensis (rubber tree). The record is from RNAcentral. Lineage: Eukaryota; Viridiplantae; Streptophyta; Magnoliopsida; Malpighiales; Euphorbiaceae.